Molecule: transfer RNA, 76 nt
Filed under: Christensenella sp. MSJ-20
Lineage: Bacteria; Bacillati; Bacillota; Clostridia; Christensenellales; Christensenellaceae
Also listed under: 1 other name
Description: tRNA-Ala
Rfam family: tRNA
About the family: Transfer RNA (tRNA) molecules are approximately 80 nucleotides in length. Their secondary structure includes four short double-helical elements and three loops (D, anti-codon, and T loops). Further hydrogen bonds mediate the characteristic L-shaped molecular structure. tRNAs have two regions of fundamental functional importance: the anti-codon, which is responsible for specific mRNA codon recognition, and the 3' end, to which the tRNAs corresponding amino acid is attached (by aminoacyl-tRNA synthetases). tRNAs cope with the degeneracy of the genetic code in two manners: having more than one tRNA (with a specific anti-codon) for a particular amino acid; and 'wobble' base-pairing, i.e. permitting non-standard base-pairing at the 3rd anti-codon position.
Source: RNAcentral
GGGGGUGUAGCUCAGCCGGGAGAGCACCUGCUUUGCAAGCAGGGGGUCAGCGGUUCGAACCCGCUCAUCUCCACCA